RNAcentral lists this ribosomal RNA (667 nucleotides) under uncultured marine bacterium. RNAcentral's name for it is "bacterial SSU rRNA". It matches the Rfam family "Bacterial small subunit ribosomal RNA", at positions 47 to 703 of the family's 1533-position model. The record is from RNAcentral.
CCUAACACAUGCAAGUCGAACGGCAGCGGAGAGUAGCUUGCUACUCUGCCGGCGAGUGGCGGACGGGUGAGUAAUGCAUAGGAAUCUACCUUGGAGCGGGGGAUAACUUGGGGAAACUCAAGCUAAUACCGCGUACGCCCCACGGGGGAAAGCUGGGGACCUUCGGGCCUGGCGCUCUAAGAGGAGCCUAUGUCAGAUUAGCUUGUUGGUGGGGUAAAGGCCUACCAAGGCGACGAUCUGUAGCUGGUCUGAGAGGACGAUCAGCCACACUGGGACUGAGACACGGCCCAGACUCCUACGGGAGGCAGCAGUGGGGAAUAUUGGACAAUGGGGGCAACCCUGAUCCAGCGAUGCAGCGUGUGUGAAGAAGGCCUGCGGGUUGUAAAGCACUUUCAGCAGGGAGGAAAAGUACGUAGUUAAUACCUGCGUACCGUGACGUUACCUGAAGAAGAAGCACCGGCUAACUCUGCGCCAGCAGCCGCGGUAAUACAGAGGGUGCAAGCGUUAAUCGGAAUUACUGGGCGUAAAGCGCGCGUAGGUGGUUAUGUAAGUCGGAUGUGAAAGCCCCGGGCUCAACCUGGGUCAGUCAUUCGAUACUGCGUAACUAGAGUAUGGUAGAGGGAAGUGGAAUUUCCGGUGUAGCGGUGAAAUGCGUAGAUAUCGGAAG